This 773-nucleotide transfer RNA is filed under the name uncultured cyanobacterium. RNAcentral's name for it is "partial 16S-23S ribosomal RNA intergenic spacer". The stretch from base 268 to 340 matches the Rfam family "tRNA". Lineage: Bacteria; Bacillati; Cyanobacteriota. The record is from RNAcentral.
CAGGGAGACAACACAAUGAUUUUGAUGCCUGAGUGUUUUUAUUCUUAGGCCGAAAUCCUGUCACCUUAGGUCGAUCGGUACCUCAGCUUUGAAGUCAAGGAUCAGCAGCAAUGUUGAUUGCUUGAUGGAGAUUUUCAGUUCCUAAACUUUGUCUAGGUCACACCCCAAAAGGGAUGAGACUCCUGGGCCAUUAGCUCAGGUGGUUAGAGCGCACCCCUGAUAAGGGUGAGGUCCCUGGUUCAAGUCCAGGAUGGCCCAUUCGGUGUUGGGGGUUUAGCUCAGUUGGUAGAGCGCCUGCUUUGCAAGCAGGAUGUCAGGAGUUCGAGUCUCCUAACCUCCACUGACCGAACUUGAUUCCCAUCUCCAAUUUUUUGGAGUUGAGCUCGAUUGGAGUGUGAUUUAGAUGUGUCCGCUGGAUGACCCCAGCUUCCUGUCAUUCCAAGUUUUAGGUUUAAGCCUUAAAUUUGGUUGAUAAGAUGCUGGGCUCAGAUCAAAUGAUCAAGGAAUUGAUGAUUUGGUUUGAAGUUCUAGCAGAACCUUGACAACUGCAUAGGUGAGUCUGGAAAAAACAAAGCAUCUUACAGAUGCAUUGUUUUGAAUCUGAUCUUCUGAAAGGGAGAUUGGAUCUAGAACAAUGAAAAUUCUUUUGAGCAAGAGCCGAGACUCUUAAACGUUCUUUGAUUCGUGUCGAGCGAAUCAAAGUUUGAUCUUGUUUUUAGCAAUAAAAACUUGAGAAUCUGCUUUCAACGGCGGUAAGCGUUUAGAGGUUAAUU